RNAcentral lists this ribosomal RNA (497 nucleotides) under uncultured bacterium. Its description in RNAcentral is "partial 16S ribosomal RNA". It matches the Rfam family "Bacterial small subunit ribosomal RNA", at positions 28 to 507 of the family's 1533-position model. The record is from RNAcentral.
GAUGAACGCUGGCGGCGUGCCUAAUACAUGCAAGUCGAGCGAACGGACGAGAAGCUUGCUUCUCUGAUGUUAGCGGCGGACGGGUGAGUAACACGUGGAUAACCUACCUAUAAGACUGGGAUAACUUCGGGAAACCGGAGCUAAUACCGGAUAAUAUUUUGAACCGCAUGGUUCAAAAGUGAAAGACGGUCUUGCUGUCACUUAUAGAUGGAUCCGCGCUGCAUUAGCUAGUUGGUAAGGUAACGUCUUACCAAGGCAACGAUGCAUAGCCGACCUGAGAGGGUGAUCGGCCACACUGGAACUGAGACACGGUCCAGACUCCUACGGGAGGCAGCAGUAGGGAAUCUUCCGCAAUGGGCGAAAGCCUGACGGAGCAACGCCGCGUGAGUGAUGAAGGUCUUCGGAUCGUAAAACUCUGUUAUUAGGGAAGAACAUAUGUGUAAGUAACUGUGCACAUCUUGAUGGUACCUAAUCAGAAAGCCACGGCUAACUACGUG